Molecule: long non-coding RNA, 2827 nt
Filed under: Homo sapiens (human)
Lineage: Eukaryota; Metazoa; Chordata; Mammalia; Primates; Hominidae
Description: HSALNT0120614
Source: RNAcentral
GCGUGAGCCACCGCGCCCGGCUGCAAGUUAGUUUUCUAAAUGGCACAUGUCACAUCAGCAUCUGUCUUCACUUCGAUAUAUAUAUUCAUAUUUAGCUCCUAUCUGUUCCACUGCCUCAAGACAUUCUCCCUGUUCCCUGCCUCCUGCCACCUUCUCCCUCUGCACAUCACUGGCUGUGAAGGUUCAGAUGCCCAGAAGAAACGUUUUCCACAUCUUCACCACCUCUUCACACUAACCCAUGCACAAUUUCUAGCUCUGCUUUAGUAGAUCUAAGGUCACUGACUCAUGACUCAGAAAAGUCAAAUGCAAAUCAUAGGAAAAGCCUGUCUUCACUGCUUCAAAGUUAUGUUUACAAUAGGCUUGUUAUUUACUUUUACUUAAAAUUAGAAACAGUCGAAAAAAAUGAAAUGCAUGGCCUACUUUGGUUCCUUUUCAAAAUAAACUGGCCUAAUGGUUCUCCACAAACACAAGCAACUCAAUUUUUAAUCAAAAAAUGUACUUCUUGCCUCAAAGACUUUACUAAAAUAAUGUUUUUGGUUCUUAACUAUAGAAACAGUUUCACCACUGGAAAAUGUGAACAUGAGGUAGAUACAGCUUAAGAAGUUAAAAGUCUUGAAUUAGGAAAUUAAGGUGUUGUCAUUGACUUUAAACACCUAUAGACUUUGUAAUUCAUAUUACAGUUUGGCUUCCCAUUGCUCGAAGUGUUUGCCUUCCUAAUAAUGACAGACUUGCUGUUCUCCCCCAGGCUCUAAAAGGUAGCAUGUGGAACCCGGGGGAGUUAUGAGACCUGGAUUUGGGUUCUCACUGCCAGUUGACAGCCAGAUAUAUGAUCUUGGCGUCCAUUCGCCCCGCUGGCCUCAGCCUUCCUGCUGUAAAAAGGGGGUUGACAGCAGGCUCCUUAAGACUGCCUCCACCUCUGCCCCCCGACCUUAGCUCAUCCUCCUCUAUUCCAUUAUCCCUGAAGCAUUUGCCUCCUCAUGUAUCUCCUUCCCAAAAGACAAGAUGGCUGGCAGCACGGAAGUGAAAAGGGAAAGAAAGGCUGUUUAAAAAAAAAAAAUUCUAAAAUGAGUCACCUUUCAAGAAUUUCCCAUUUCCUCAUGCCUGGGUGCUUCCUCGUGUCGCUAAAUCAGUUCUUCCAAUGAAACUUGAUCUAAGAACCUGGUAUUUGUUAUGUGCACUGCUCUUGGAUGAUGUUUACAAUGUGCACACAUCUCUUUUAAGAGCUUGUAGGUAUCAAACGACCUCCAGGUUGUGCAUCAAAAAGACAUCAGCAGCCACAGAGUCAACUUUAGUUGAGCCUGGAGAAAAUCAUACAAAACCGUAGAGUUUUAACUAGGUUUUGUAUCAUCUUUUGAUAAGUUAGGAAAAAUAAUUACAGCUCUCCAAACUUCCCACUUAACAACUCCCAGGACCCUGCAGCACCCUAAAAUCUAGCCAGCUCCAAGAAUCACUCUCUACUCCAUACCCGGAUGAGCCUUGACUCACACUAAUUCCCUCCCUGAGGCUUAAGUCAGGGGGCAGCUGAUGGUUGUGGUCUGUGCUGCUUCCGCCUGGCCUAUUUUUCAUGCUGCCAUUUUGAAUUAGCAUAGGUUUCCUCCGCAACUGAUGCAUCUUCUAACCAGGCUGGGAACACAACACGCGCACACGCGCACACACACACGCACGCACCCACCCCACCCGGCUGCCGGACGCAAGCGUAAGUCAAGGACUUGCAUGCUAGAAUCAGACAGAAAAUCCAGAAAAGCCACGUUAUUUAACAGAACCCUACAAGGUCAGCUUUGAGUCAAAGCAGGACGGAGCCCUGACAGCAAUGUUUGCUACGGCCUCCCUCUGCAGUCAGCCUAAAGCAAGGAGCUGGAGGUAGAUGAGGCAAAGGUAAAGGAGACCAAAACAGUAUUUUAAAGAAAAAAUCAUUUAUCUUCAAAUAGGCUCCAAACCUAAGAUGGUGUAUACUGUUAGAGGACAAGAACCUGCUUCUAGCCAUCUUUGCGUCUCCAGGACCUGACUUGUGACCAUUCAAUAAGAGUUUGAUAGAUGGACAGACUAAUGAAUAGAUGAAGAUGAUUAGAAGCCAAAAUUUCUGAAUCUUCCUAGCACCCAGAACAUGGCUUAACAUCAAGGAAAUGCUCACUAAAUACUGUCAUAAUGGAAUGAAUGGAACCGAUGCCUAAUUGAAAAUCAUUAGGCUGUAAACCAUUUCCAUGUUCCAAUUUCUUCGUUUAUAGAACAGAAAUGAUAGUGUAACCACCUGAAAAUCCUUCACCUAGACUUCCAAAACCACACCCACCUCAUCAAUGAAGUCUGACUCUCUAGAAAGAAGCAAAUGACUGAAAUCAUGGUCCUGUGCCUUGACCAAAAUACCAUUCGUCAGAACAAAAGAAGUAGGUCAGUGAAACGGCAUUAGUAUAUCCUUCAACAGGCAAAUAAGUGAUAGUGUAGUUUGCUUUUGAAGUCGCUGUGAAAAGUUUUAGGUGAACAUCACCUACACCACAUUAAAAAUGGAAUCAAGUCAUUUUCUUUAAGAAAUGGAGUUUGAGAUAUGAGAAUUCUUUUGGGCUUUUUCUACUUAUUGGCCAAUUAUACACCCAGAUAUAUUUCUGCAAUAUUUCAAAGAUUCUAGUUCUAAUUUGUAUAAUAAAAAAAAUUAACAGCCUUUUCCAGACCACAUGUUUCCAACAAGACCUUCAAAGGCCUCGCUCGCUAUAUAAAACUGGCUUUAAACAAUUUCCUUUCCCAAAGAAGGAAAUAAGAUAUUUCGGUUUUGUAAAAGAGGCAAAACCAGGUACAGGCCACCUUUCCUGCUGGAGAGCUGGCAUAAGUGAGUGGA